This 471-nucleotide ribosomal RNA is filed under the name uncultured bacterium. RNAcentral's name for it is "bacterial SSU rRNA". It matches the Rfam family "Bacterial small subunit ribosomal RNA", at positions 40 to 507 of the family's 1533-position model. The record is from RNAcentral.
CGGCAUGCCUUACACAUGCAAGUCGAACGGCAGCACGGGAGCAAUCCUGGUGGCGAGUGGCGAACGGUGAGUAAUAUAUCGGAACGUGCCCAGUCGUGGGGGAUAACGUAGCGAAAGCUACGCUAAUACCGCAUACGAUCUAUGGAUGAAAGCGGGGGAUCGCAAGACCUCGCGCGAUUGGAGCGGCCGAUAUCAGAUUAGGUAGUUGGUGAGGUAAAGGCUCACCAAGCCGACGAUCUGUAGCUGGUCUGAGAGGACGACCAGCCACACUGGGACUGAGACACGGCCCAGACUCCUACGGGAGGCAGCAGUGGGGAAUUUUGGACAAUGGGCGCAAGCCUGAUCCAGCAAUGCCGCGUGCAGGAUGAAGGCCUUCGGGUUGUAAACUGCUUUUGUACGGAACGAAACGGUGAGCUCUAAUACAGUUUGCUAAUGACGGUACCGUAAGAAUAAGCACCGGCUAACUACGUG